UGAACGCUAGCGACAGGCCUAACACAUGCAAGUCGAGGGGCAGCACAAGGAGCAAUCUGAGGUGGCGACCGGCGCACGGGUGAGUAACACGUAUGCAACCUGCCUGUAAGCGGGGAAUAACCCGUUGAAAGACGGACUAAUACCGCAUAAUACUAAAUUACUGCAUGGUAAUUUAUUUAAACAUUUAUGGCUUACAGAUGGGCAUGCGCAUGAUUAGCUAGUUGGAGAGGUAACGGCUCCCCAAGGCAACGAUCAUUAGGGGUUCUGAGAGGAAGGUCCCCCACACUGGUACUGAGACACGGACCAGACUCCUACGGGAGGCAGCAGUGAGGAAUAUUGGUCAAUGGACGAGAGUCUGAACCAGCCAAGUCGCGUGCAGGAAGAAUGUCCUUAAUGGAUUGUAAACUGCUUUUGCAGGGGAAUAAAGUGCAUCACGUGUGAUGUUUUGUAUGUACUCUGCGAAUAAGGAUCGGCUAACUCCGUGCCAGCAGCCGC
RNAcentral lists this ribosomal RNA (495 nucleotides) under uncultured bacterium. Its description in RNAcentral is "bacterial SSU rRNA". It matches the Rfam family "Bacterial small subunit ribosomal RNA", at positions 30 to 518 of the family's 1533-position model. The record is from RNAcentral.